This 828-nucleotide long non-coding RNA is filed under the name Apteryx rowi (Okarito brown kiwi). RNAcentral describes it as "lncRNA (ENSARWG00000000882.1)". The record is from RNAcentral. Lineage: Eukaryota; Metazoa; Chordata; Aves; Apterygiformes; Apterygidae.
CCCAUGUCCUUGCAGAGUCUGUUUGUGGCCAUGGGUUUUCCCUCCAACUCCGUCUGCCUGGGAGAAGAGGAGGCCGGGGGGGGGGGGGGGGGGGGUGUCUGAAUCAGCAAGGCAGGCUUUACCUGGUAGCGAAAAAGCAUAGGUUCUUAGUGAAAUGAGGGAGUAGAGCUAUAUGGAUCCAGCUUUUGUGUGCCAGAGUCAGGGUGCAGCCCUGCUGCUCUUGCUGCUAGGAAUCGUUCAGUGUGAACCAGCAGAAACACAUCAUGGAAGAGGCCAGGUCAGUGAACACUGUUUCCCAGAUGCUGGCCAUUGUGAAAGUGGCCAUUGAGUUCCUGGCUGUGAAUGGCAGUGACGUGAAGGGCCUGCCAUCUGAGUAUGUCAGGCGGGAGCUGAAAAUGGAUACUGGUGCAAAGCAGUUCCGAGAUGUGUUGGUGGUGCCCAGCCCCCAGCUGAAGCAUGUCCUGUCACUGUGGCAGGUUGUGGCGGCUCGCAGGCAUGUUGGUACAGAUGAACCAGGUUCAAGGAGAACUUUGUGUUGUUUCUGGAAGCCAGCCCAGUCAAUGCUGUCUCCAUUGCUAGCCUGAUGGAUGCACUGAGCCCUGAUCUUCUCCUUGAGGACAUCCUUUCUGGAGGAGGGCUGCGAAGACCUGCCAGCUGGACAUCUCUGCCUGUGGCCAGCAGAGACCAGUUGUCAUUAGCACCCCCUCAUAAUGACCCCACUGGUGGCUUCUCCCCACAGGGCGUGGAGGAAGGGGCCUUGAGACACACUCUCCUCCUUAAUCUUGGCUCUGGGGCCAAUAAAUGAUCUGUGCAUGGGCUCUUGGAGCA